GUGGGGAAUAUUGGACAAUGGGCGAAAGCCUGAUCCAGCCAUGCCGCGUGUGUGAAGAAGGUCUUCGGAUUGUAAAGCACUUUAAGUUGGGAGGAAGGGCAGUAAGUUAAUACCUUGCUGUUUUGACGUUACCGACAGAAUAAGCACCGGCUAACUUCGUGCCAGCAGCCGCGGUAAUACGAAGGGUGCAAGCGUUAAUCGGAAUUACUGGGCGUAAAGCGCGCGUAGGUGGUUUUGUAAGUUGGAGGUGAAAUCCCCGGGAUCAACCUGGGAACUGCCUCCAAAACUGCAUGACUAGAGUACGGUAGAGGGUAGUGGAAUUUCCUGUGUAGCGGUGAAAUGCGUAGAUAUAGGAAGGAACACCAGUGGCGAAGGCGACUACCUGGACUGAUACUGACACUGAGGUGCGAAAGCGUGGGGAGCAAACAGGAUUAGAUACCCUUGUAGUCC
Molecule: ribosomal RNA, 450 nt
Filed under: uncultured bacterium
Lineage: Bacteria
Description: partial 16S ribosomal RNA
Rfam family: Bacterial small subunit ribosomal RNA
Source: RNAcentral